RNAcentral lists this ribosomal RNA (506 nucleotides) under uncultured bacterium. Its description in RNAcentral is "partial 16S ribosomal RNA". It matches the Rfam family "Bacterial small subunit ribosomal RNA", at positions 29 to 523 of the family's 1533-position model. The record is from RNAcentral.
AGUGAACGCUGGCGGUAGGCCUAACACAUGCAAGUCGAACGGCAGCACAGGAGAGCUUGCUCUCUGGGUGGCGAGUGGCGGACGGGUGAGGAAUACAUCGGAAUCUACUUUUUCGUGGGGGAUAACGUAGGGAAACUUACGCUAAUACCGCAUACGACCUACGGGUGAAAGCAGGGGACCUUCGGGCCUUGCGCGAUUGAAUGAGCCGAUGUCGGAUUAGCUAGUUGGCGGGGUAAGGGCCCACCAAGGCGACGAUCCGUAGCUGGUCUGAGAGGAUGAUCAGCCACACUGGAACUGAGACACGGUCCAGACUCCUACGGGAGGCAGCAGUGGGGAAUAUUGGACAAUGGGCGCAAGCCUGAUCCAGCCAUACCGCGUGGGUGAAGAAGGCCUUCGGGUUGUAAAGCCCUUUUGUUGGGAAAGAAAUCCAGCUGGCUAAUACCCGGUUGGGAUGACGGUACCCAAAGAAUAAGCACCGGCUAACUUCGUGCCAGCAGCCGCGGUAA